UUCGUAGUUACUUUUUGCAAUAUUUACCUAUCUAUUUAUAUUUUUAUAACAGAAUUCGAAUAAAUAUGUCUGUAUUUAAUUUUUUGCCCGUAGUAAAGAACUGUUGCAUGAGUUGCAGCUUAAAAGUUGGUUCAAUUAUUAUCGCUGUGUUUAUGAUAAUGUUUGUAAUUUUACAAAGUUUGCCGCUCGUGAGUAAGGAUUUUAGAGAUGUGAUUGCAGAGGCAAAUGCAACCGAACCUCCCAAGACUAUACAAUACAUCAGUGCUAUUGUUGCUGUUAUAACUAUCAUCGUAUCUGUAAUGUUUAUCAUCGGCAUUUGUAUUAAUAAACCAAUAACAGCUGAAAUGUUUUUAUAUGUCCUGGCGUUGCAUGUAAUUGUAACAAUAAUUUUUAUAAUUUUUUAUUGUGUUGGAAAGAUAAUUGGAAAAAACUAUUCCUUAAUGGACAUCUUUGUUCAUUCAAUUGUUACAAUAAUUAUGAUUUAUUUUAUGAUUGUUGUGAGAAGUUUCAAAGAUGAAAUGGAGGAAUAAAUAUAAUAUAAACUUAAUGUAUUCAAAAUAAUAGAUUUUAAACUCAUAAUGUCAGUGCUGG
This is a long non-coding RNA of Leptidea sinapis, 591 nucleotides long. RefSeq lists it as uncharacterized. The transcript is spliced from 4 exons. NCBI's taxonomy places the organism in Eukaryota, Metazoa, Arthropoda, Insecta, Lepidoptera, Pieridae. The record is from RefSeq and is a predicted model, not a curated record.